Molecule: small nuclear RNA, 149 nt
Filed under: Microtus ochrogaster (prairie vole)
Lineage: Eukaryota; Metazoa; Chordata; Mammalia; Rodentia; Cricetidae
Description: U1 spliceosomal RNA (ENSMOCG00000006312.1)
Rfam family: U1 spliceosomal RNA
About the family: U1 is a small nuclear RNA (snRNA) component of the spliceosome (involved in pre-mRNA splicing).
Source: RNAcentral
AAAGGCGAUAUCACUUUCAAGAAGGUGGUUUUCCCAGAGUGAGGCUUAUCCAAGGCACUCAGGCUGCCCUGAUCCCUUGAAUUUCUUCAAAUUUGGGAAAUUCAAACAGAUGAUUUGUGGUAGUGGAGAACUGCCUUAGCUUCCCCCAU